This 4004-nucleotide unclassified non-coding RNA is filed under the name Centruroides sculpturatus (bark scorpion). RNAcentral's name for it is "homer protein homolog 2-like, transcript variant X3". The record is from RNAcentral. Lineage: Eukaryota; Metazoa; Arthropoda; Arachnida; Scorpiones; Buthidae.
AGCACAUAGUUUUUAAGUGUAACGCGACCUUCGUAUGUCAGCUUUGAUGUUUCGCAGGCAGAUUUAACGAGCUCUUAUCAGAAAAUUGUAGGAAGUAGUAUUUCCUCGCUUAGAAAAUAUGGCAGAAUCCUACCUUCUCGUCGUGUUUCUGGUCUUCAAUAUCGAGGCUGAAACUCUUCCUAAUUGCAAACAAGAGUUCUCUUGCGAAUCCUUCUUAUAUCUUAAACAUCGAGUCAAUGGAAUGUUUGGAAAAUUGGAGGAACUAUCGAUGACUCAAAACAAAUUAAGAACAGUAGAAGAGCACUUACUCUCGGAUAAAAGGAACUUGCUCAAGUGUAAAGAAAGCGUCAAACAGUUGAGGAAUCAAUUCGACAGUUUAAAGAACAAUCCCGAAAGUGAUGAGAACAACAUAUUUAACUUUAAUCGGAGUUUAAUCAGAGUAGAAGAUAAAAAUUCUCUGUUGGAAAAAAAGCUGAGAAAGUUAGAAGAAAAAAUUACACUUAACGUUACUCAGAAACUAGAGGAACACGAAACUGCUGAUAAGAAUGGAAUGCAAAAUCUGGCCGAAAUCCGUGCAAAAUUGAAAGAUAUAGAAAAGAAUAAUACAGAAAACUUUAAAAAUUUGGUAAGAGAUAUUAAUAAUAAGGUUGAUAAAUCUGAAUUUUCUAAAUUUAAAGUGAAAGUUAAUGAUGAAAUUCGGAGUUUGCAAGAUGCCGUAAAGAAAUUGGAAGAAACCGUACAGAGUUUUCCGUUGCAGAAAAGGAAAAUUAUAGAAGUUCAGAAUAAAUCAAUAGAGAGUAUAAAUGAUUUCAGGCGGCAGAUUUUACAAUUGAGAAACGAUUUGAAUAAUGCCAAAAAAGAACAAGAAAGAAAAUUUUCUUCUUUACAAGAUUCUUUGAAAGACAUCAAAGAACUUCUGAAUUCGACGAAAGAACAAACUACUACAACUAUCUCUCCAGAUUUCAGAAGAGAUUUAGAAUCGGCUUUAAGUAAAGGCAUUGGUCUGCUUAAACAAUCGGGUGGUGAAAAAAUAUCUUCAAAAUCUGUUUCAUGGACAUCGGAGGAAUCAUUUUCCGAGCGUCAAAAACCUUAACAAAACCAAUUACGGAUUACGACACUAUCGACUGGAAGAGGAUCAGGUAUCAUCAUCAUCCUUCACUCGAUCAUAAAAUGACGUAUGUAUUAGUUCUGUGUUCGGUGUUAAUUAUUAAUUUAAAUCCCAUCCGCGGUUCGAGUUACUGCGAAGAUGUACCUUGUGGUUUUGUCGAAAGCACGAAACUUAAACUAGAAAUCGCUAAACCCGAACUCGACGUUAUAUCGGAUUUAACAGCUAAUGUCGUUAAAAACGAAAUUAUCGUCACAGAAGAGUUUAAUCCUUCCGUCAAGCAAGCUCUACAUGAUUUGCACGAGUUACUUUUAUACACGGAAGAUCUGAAUAAUGAAGAUUUAAUCGUUGAUGAAGUCCCCGAAGAUUUGUUUCUUCGGCUUAAUAUGGAGGAACGGAGUUGCACCCAACUGGAAGAAAGGAAAAAGAAACCGAAGACUUACUUCAAGUUAUAAAAAAACACUCGAGUAAUUUAAUGCAAGCUCUCGUUACCACUCAACAAAAUUCCGAAAAGUUGAUGAAUAAUAAAAUGGCGAAUUCCGAAUUUAAUCGCACGAUACAAGACAUGAUUUUUCAGCUAAAUAAAACUCUUUCGUCCCCGCUGCUUAUUGGAAACUCUGAUUUACUUAAUUUGAAAGACCAAUUAGAGAAAAGUUAUGAUAUAAACGUGCAACUCGUGGGGAUAUUUCAGGAAAUUGAAAAACUUCGAGGAUCUCUACAGAAAUUACGAGAAAUUGGUGAUAAUAUGGAGGCGAUGGGAAAGGAUAUUCAAGCAAUUUUGAACUCAUUCAACGCGAAAAACGAAACUCGAGUACCAUCGAAUAAUAAUAAUAACAGAUUUGCAAAGACUAAUAAAAAUAAUAAGAAAAGAAAAGAGGGCCUCUCCGUUGCAGAAAUCAUAAAAUCUAAGAAAGAAAAUAAAAACGGUUAAAACGAGUAAUUUUAACACUUUAAAAAUGUUAGUUCUUUUAAUAUUAAGUUAUGAGAAAUCUUAAUUAUAUAAAGAAUUUAAUUUCGUGUAAAAAUUAUUUGUGUACUGAAGUAAUUUGUAAGGAUGUAAAAAGGUCUGUACGAAAAUAAAAUUGUGUUUUGUACAUUUAAUAGUCGAAUGCUCCUGGCAUUUCUAGGGCUUAUGAGAGGGUGACAAAAAUAAUGGUGUGUAGUAAAUAAAAUGUACUGUACAUUUAUUGAGCGGAGUAUUUAUAAUAAUGAAACUGAAAAACAAAAAAUUGCUGGGGCUUAAGUUAAGAAGGAUGGGCUUUAGGGGUGGAAUCCCGUAGUAUUUUUGUAGGGUGUCGAAGAAUAUUCGUGCCAAAUUUGGUGAAGAUACGUUGAAAGAUUAUGGAACAUUUGCAUGCAUACAUAUUUUGACUUUUAUAUAAAUAAAUACAGUAUAUUUUCUACGCCGUGGCAUAGGAAUUACAUCGAUCUUCGUUUAUUAUCUCACAAGUAAAGCAUGGCACUGAGUAAAUAGAAAAAAAUUCAAAUUAUUUUGAUGGUGAGAACCGGCAGUCAGUGUAAAAUCGCUGAAGAGUUUGACAAGCUGCAUCCAGACUUCCUAAUAAUUACACACUGCAGUCUGGAUAUACUGUUAAAAUCUGACUUUCGGAUCUCCACCAUCAAAAUAACUUGAAUUUAUUCCUCGUUUAUCUGUAAAAAAAAAAAAUAAACAAAGGUUAAUAUAACUCAUAUGGUUCCAGACUUAUAGGGCACCCUUUAUAAUUUUGGUAAAUUUAUUUUAUAAAUUAUUACAAGAAAAAAGCAUGCAAAACUAUUAAUGGUGAUAAAAUUAACAGACUAUAUAGCAUACAUAAAAAAAAUAUAUUUGCAGUGUAAUUAGAUAAAAAUUAAAGUGUACAAUACUCCUGAUAUUGUAUAUGACAAUAUACUGUAAUUAAUUACAGCUGCCAACUUAAUUAUACCUUACUUAAACUAUAAAUAAAGGUAUGGCACAAAAAUUAUCAAUAGAAUAAAAUCUCAAUUAUCCAUCACUUUGGUACAAAACUGAUUAUUUACCAUGAUAUCUAUUUUGCUAGCAUGUAAGUUAUGCACCACAAGCAUGAAUGCCAUCCUAUUGCAUGCAGAUUUGGACGUGUAUACUAUCAUUCUUCACACCUUGCAAGACAUCAGGUUUUGACCUUAAAAUGGGUGAAUGACAUAAAUCAAUUAGGGCCUUGUGACCUCACUGGUAAAAACUCAGUGAUGCUAUGUGUUUGUCUGGCAUCAAUGUUGUCCCAAAAUGGAAAAUCCCAUAUGGUUUGUUUAUAGUAUGUGACUUACAAGUACAAAAUCUACAGGGUGUCUGGUAAUAUUGUUUAGAAGUAUGAGUAUAUUAUACAUUUAAUUUUACGGUAUUUAUUACACGUGUUUAUAUUAUGCAGUAUAAUUUCAUAUAUAAACAAGUUAUUAUCUGACAGUUCAUUUGAAAUUGUUAGCAUGCAUUUUUGAAAUAAGAUUUCAAAUUUCAUACAGUAAGAGUAUUUGAAUUGACUCAACUCUUCCUGCUUUUCCUAUAAAUCAAUAUUGAGUUAUUUUAUAAGCUGGAUAUUAGAGGGUAGAACCUACACAUGGGCAUAGGAUGAAGAAAAGAGGAGUGUGAAGAGUUGAGAAGGAGGAGAUAAAUUCCUAGUAGGGUAAUGUGCAGAUAGAAUGAAGAGAUAUUAAUUAAAAUAAAUACAUUUGUUGAGAAAUGUUUACGUAGUAGUAGUAAUUACAUAAAGUAACAGCUUCACUAUACCAGGGCAAUACAGUAAAAGCUGGAUAAUCAAGAUUCUAAUAUUGUUGUUAUUAAAGUUUAGAAAUAAUUAAGCUUCGUUGUAAAAAAUGUAUUAUUAUUUAAUAAAAAAGUAACAAGACUACUUUUUAAGAAUUAAGAAAAUCUCUUUAUUGCACAUAUUGU